Cervus elaphus (red deer) is the source of this 2294-nucleotide long non-coding RNA. RefSeq lists it as uncharacterized. The transcript has 2 exons. NCBI's taxonomy places the organism in Eukaryota, Metazoa, Chordata, Mammalia, Artiodactyla, Cervidae. The record is from RefSeq and is a predicted model, not a curated record.
CCUUACUGUAUUGUUCUGGACACAAUCGGAUAGACCCUGAGCCAGCUCCCAACUCCAGGGCAAGGGGCGGUGGGGAAACGGUCGCCACCGGGGUCAGGAGGACAGGGAAGGGGAAGUGGCUUGGAGGCUGGGUCUAGGACAGGACAGGAAGGGGCCGCCGCCAGGGCCGGAGCCCCCACUCCACGGCGCGCGUGGAGCUCCAAGCACGUGGUCCCCGCAGGAAAUCGCGGCGGUGGGGAGCGGUCGCUAAUUCUCCUGCGGGGUGCCGGGAUCUCGGACCCCCAUCGGGGAGGCUGGGGGUUGGGUUGUGGCGCGGCGGGCAGAACCGGUUGCCAAUGAGGGCUUAAUAAGGCCCGGGCUGAGAAGGGAAACGGGACGACGGAGGGAGGUUGGGAGGCAGCCUCCUUCCCCUCCGCCAGGUUUCUUUCUCUGCGAUCUUUGCGCGAAGUCAAUCGAGAAACUGCCACACUUCGUCUUCACAUCCGAGGAGGGAGAGAGGAGGAAGGGAUGCAGGACUAGGAGCGCAGGUCAAUUCACAGAUGCGCGCGGCGGGACAGGGGCCCAAGAGGAAUCGGGACGCCGGGGGGUCUCGUUCACAUCAGAAGCGCGUGCACCCAAAGGAUAGACAUUUUUCCGAACCCACCAUCCUGACUGAGCUAGAGAGACGGGCGGCAAGCGGGGCUGGCAGGCUCCGGGGUCGGAUGGGGCGCCCCCAUCUGGAGGAUCCAGGCCCGCGGGGUGAAUCCGGGCAACUCCCCCAGUGCGGCCAGGGAAGCGUCCGCGGUGGUAACGACCACAGGCACUUACUGGGCCGCGGGAGUCGAUGUCCGCUGAGCCUUCCUCCCAUCCCACCCACCUCAGGUCCCCGAAGUCCGCAACACCAGCCCCGGCUAGAAUGCCAAGGGGUCUGGGCGUCCCGCCAGCGCGCGUUCCCCUUCACCUGUGCAGGUGUCAAGCUGUAAUUUCUGUACACUUCAUUUCAAAAAAAAAGAAGGGGCUGGGGACAUAGGUGAGACACUGCUGCGUGGUGUCUCGAUGCGACGGCGAGGCGUUGCCUUUGGACCCGUCCUGGAGGCACCCGAGACACUCACCGCGUGCUGGAAGUCCACGGACAUGCCCAUGCUCAGCUCCACCUGGUCGGGAGGGACGCCCAGCUUCCUGCACAGCUCCUCCCGGAGGGACAGCAACACCUGACGGAGAGACAGGCGUGACGCCAUUUUACCCCUGCCUUCGCCGAGGAUGGCUGAACGGGGCUGAGCCUCAACACCUCUGAUAGAGACUACUUCUUUAUUCCUCGUGGCUUUGAGGCCUGUCAACACCACCACGAGUCACUGAAAGGGUUUGCAGCAAAUUCUCCUACUUUCAAGAAAACUGUCACCCGUCGGAGAGGAAGCCGGAGCUCCUUUUCUCUGAAGACCAUGUGUCAGGCAGGUUCAGGCCGAGUGGAGAAGGGUCUGUGGGGGUUUGGGGGACCUGUUCCCGUUUUCCGUGUGAGGAGAGUUUAAGCGGGUGAUCAAGUAACACGACAAGAGACGUCCGGAAAAGUGUGUGGAGCUGACGGCAGCAGCCAGCCCUGUACCCUCACUGGACGUGAGCAGCGCCGCCACCCUGGGCCCCGGGUACCUGGAAGUCCGGGUUCGGUCCUUGACUAAGAUCGUGCCCAAAGCUCCCGAUGGUCAUCAGCCCCACGAACUCCAGGCUGGGGCACUUGGCGUUGAUGUGUUCCACCAGGGCCGCCGUCUCUGCAGGGGGCAGGCCGUGUUUGCCUUCACAAAAGAGACAGAAGACCGAGAGGUUCUAGGAAGCCAGAGGAGCACCCUUCCCUAGGACAGAGGAGGCAACUCUCAGGCAAGAGGACUUCUUGGGAGAACUUGUCCUCGAGACUGAAAUGGUGACUUUACACUGAGCUGUCUGUGUGUGUUGCUCCCCUUCUGACCCGGUCCUGAGUGUCUCAAGGGAAGAGCUAUAAACUGGAUUCUCUUUAUUCUGCCUCAGCAUGUGAGGACAGCUAUAAUAGAAGGAAAAGGGGGGAAAAAAAAAACACUGCUUUUCUUAAAAUAGAAGGAAGAAAAAUUAAUCUUAAAAAAAAAAAAUUAUCUGGAACUUUCCUGGCGGUUCAGUGGUUAAGAUUAUGUGCUUCCAGUGUGAGGGUUGGGGGGGAAGCCAUCGGGUUUGAUAUCCCUGGUCAGGGAACUAAGAUCCUGCGUGUUGGGUGUGCGGUGGAGCCAAAACUUUUAAAAAGAAAAAAAAAAAACACCAAGAAGACUCACAUUGCCCAAACGCCAGAUUAACCA